RNAcentral lists this long non-coding RNA (234 nucleotides) under Ailuropoda melanoleuca (giant panda). Its description in RNAcentral is "lncRNA (ENSAMEG00000024885.1)". Lineage: Eukaryota; Metazoa; Chordata; Mammalia; Carnivora; Ursidae. The record is from RNAcentral.
AGUGGCGACUCUGGAGCCGGGGAUUCCUGAUUCAGCCAGGAGCCGCGGGCUGGGACUGGCUGAAGGUCGUUAAGAAUUGAAGUGCUGAAGACUCUUCAAUUCCAAGCCUAGAGAAGCUUACAACCGCGCCAAUCGGUUUUGUUCCGAGACGCUGGAAGACUGGAUGGAGGUUCUCCAUCAAUACCGGGGUUCUACCCUUUAAGGAAAGAAGAUCAACCCUUUCACAAAAACGCA